This 475-nucleotide long non-coding RNA is filed under the name Nicotiana benthamiana. Its description in RNAcentral is "long non-coding RNA (NBEN_LNC041432)". Lineage: Eukaryota; Viridiplantae; Streptophyta; Magnoliopsida; Solanales; Solanaceae. The record is from RNAcentral.
GUUCGGAAUCCAGAGAAAGCUCAAUGAAACCGCUUACGCCCUUAAUCAAUCGAUAAGGCAGUCGUCGGAUUUCCACAGCUAUUCUAAGAGCGUGCUGAAUCCAACCGUUGCACGUUCCCCCUUUGGCUAAACCACCACUUCAGGCUAACCCUUUUGCCUGGCUGGCACUUACUCAAGUUAGAGUUUUGCGCUCUCUCAAAACGCCUGCACGCCUGCGAGUGUUCUCCCCGGUCCUACAAAUUGAGCUUCCGAAAGGGGUGCUUGCUGGAGCAGCUCAACGAGAUGUGGGUUCAAUUCUCGCUAUGCCUCAUCCUAGUAGGUGUCUGCGCCAUUGGGCCAGCUAAACUUGCUCUGAUCUAGUGUGCGUCCGCUCCUGUUCGGGCUCACUCAGCAGAAAGCUAACUCUCUUCUCCUGCUUUAGCUUGAGCCCACCCGGACAGACUCUGGCAUGACACCCGUCACCAUACAUAGGUAA